Molecule: long non-coding RNA, 207 nt
Filed under: Elaeis guineensis (African oil palm)
Lineage: Eukaryota; Viridiplantae; Streptophyta; Magnoliopsida; Arecales; Arecaceae
Description: long non-coding RNA (EGUI_LNC043543)
Source: RNAcentral
AAAAUAAGAUUCUCAGACGAGAGAAUCGAGCCUCGAGUUCAAGCAGUGACUUGGCUUUGGUGGUGACUAGAAGUAGUGGUAGCAGAGGAUGAAGUGGUGAAGGAUCGCAAGGUAGACGGUCCAAAUCCAAAUCAAGAGACUCGAGCAAGUUUAGAUGCUACCGAUGUGAUGAAUUGGGACAUCGAAUUAGAAAUUAUCCACAGCUCA